Molecule: transfer RNA, 66 nt
Filed under: Zootermopsis nevadensis
Lineage: Eukaryota; Metazoa; Arthropoda; Insecta; Blattodea; Termopsidae
Rfam family: tRNA
About the family: Transfer RNA (tRNA) molecules are approximately 80 nucleotides in length.
Source: Rfam by way of RNAcentral
AUCGUGGUCUAGCGGUUAGAACGCUGGCCUUGUAAUCCUGGGGUCUCGGGUUCGAUUCCCGGUGGU